UCCGGUUUGUCACCGGCAGUUUCCCAAGAGUGCGCCCCUUGCGGGGGUGGCAACAUGGGAUAAGGGUUGCGCUCGUUGCGGGACUUAACCCAACAUCUCACGACACGAGCUGACGACAACCAUGCAGCACCUCUACUGGCUCCCUUGCGGGUCAUUCCUAUUUCUAGGUUUUACCACCAGCUCUUCAAGCCCAGGUAAGGUUUUUCGUGUUGCGUCGAAUUAAACCACAUACUCCACCGCUUGUGCGGGCCCCCGUCAAUUCCUUUGAGUUUCAACCUUGCGGCCGUACUCCCCAGGCGGUUCACUUAAUGCGUUAGCUUCGGCGCGGAAGGGGUCGAUACCACCCACACCUAGUGAACAUCGUUUACAGCUAGGACUAC
This 380-nucleotide unclassified non-coding RNA is filed under the name uncultured Elusimicrobia bacterium. Its description in RNAcentral is "contains 16S-23S intergenic spacer region". The record is from RNAcentral. Lineage: Bacteria; Pseudomonadati; Elusimicrobiota; Elusimicrobia.